GGGGAUGUAUUUGGUUUCGACAGGAAUACGGAUGUAUCAAGAAGCGAGUCGUAGUUCGCGAAACUACGUUAAAAAAGAGCAACUAAAUUUAAACGCAGAAGAAAAUAAUAAUUUUGCAUUUGCUGCUUAGUUAAAAGCGGCGCGUCUCGAAUCCUAUCUCUCGUGUGGAGGCUGAGACCUUAACAACUUACGAGCUGAUUUAUUUGGUGAUGCUUUUAGCCAUAUAAAUUAACAAAAGCUACUUCGGACGGAGUUUGAUGUUUUAGAAAUUUGAAGGAAACUUUAAAAACAUCUGCACUCGGAGAUGCUUGAUGCAUAGUUUUUUUGGACAGGAGUUCGACUCUCCUCAUCUCCACCA
Molecule: non-coding RNA, 358 nt
Organism: Clostridiales bacterium
Lineage: Bacteria; Bacillati; Bacillota; Clostridia; Eubacteriales
Source: Rfam